Non-coding RNA from Coffea arabica (coffee), 501 nucleotides. NCBI's taxonomy places the organism in Eukaryota, Viridiplantae, Streptophyta, Magnoliopsida, Gentianales, Rubiaceae. The record is from RefSeq and is a predicted model, not a curated record.
UUUAACACAUGACAUCAACUAUUAUCAGAGUUUUGAAUCAUUGAUCAAACUCACUCCCUACAUUCAUUAUUGUUGACAGGUUGCAGGAAGUGGUUAUAUUCAUUGUUGGCGGGACAACAUAUGAAGAAUCACGUGCAGUUGCUUUACAAAAUACUACAAACUCUGGUAUUCGUUUCAUUCUUGGGGGUUCUGCAGUUCUCAAUUCUAAGAGGUUUCUGAAGGACCUUGAAGAAGCUCAGAGGAUAGCUCGGACUACCACUGGUUUGGUUUGACUUCCAAUCUAGACUCUCAAGCAUCUUAGACUCUUUCAAAAUGGUGAUGCUGUAUGUAAAUGUGAGUUGUAAUACAUGUUUUCUGAAACAGUUGCCGCCCCUCUCAUUGCCAAUUUUGACAGUCACAAUGCGGUUCUAAUAACUUAGUUGCUGUUCUUUGUAGCUGAGAAAAUAGGCUCAUGUACAGCUAAUCUGAUAAUAUUUAAGUGUUAUUCUCAAGUUGAAACUA